CUUCAUUGGUGAUCUCCCAUUUGUGCCUUUGUGUCUGGGUCAGAGAAGCCCUGUAAUGGAACCUAAGGGCUUUUAAG
Vicugna pacos (alpaca) is the source of this 77-nucleotide small nucleolar RNA. RefSeq annotates it as small nucleolar RNA SNORD66. Lineage: Eukaryota; Metazoa; Chordata; Mammalia; Artiodactyla; Camelidae. The record is from RefSeq and is a predicted model, not a curated record.